This 510-nucleotide ribosomal RNA is filed under the name uncultured bacterium. RNAcentral describes it as "bacterial SSU rRNA". It matches the Rfam family "Bacterial small subunit ribosomal RNA", at positions 213 to 716 of the family's 1533-position model. The record is from RNAcentral.
UUGUGCUAUACGAGCGCCGAUGUCUGAUUAGCUAGUUGGUGAGGUAAAGGCUCACCAAGGCGACGAUCAGUAGCGGGUCUGAGAGGAUGAUCCGCCACACUGGGACUGAGACACGGCCCAGACUCCUACGGGAGGCAGCAGUGGGGAAUUUUGGACAAUGGGCGCAAGCCUGAUCCAGCCAUGCCGCGUGUCUGAAGAAGGCCUUCGGGUUGUAAAGGACUUUUGUCAGGGAGCAAAACUUACUGGUUAAUACCUGGUGAGGUUGAGAGUACCUGAAGAAUAAGCACCGGCUAACUACGUGCCAGCAGCCGCGGUAAUACGUAGGGUGCAAGCGUUAAUCGGAAUUACUGGGCGUAAAGCGUGCGCAGGCGGACUUUUAAGCCAGAUGUGAAAGCCCCGAGCUUAACUUGGGAAUUGCGUUUGGAACUGGGAGUCUAGAGUCUGUCAGAGGGGGAUGGAAUUCCACGUGUAGCAGUGAAAUGCGUAGAGAUGUGGAGGAACACCGAUGGC